GAUGAAGAACGCAGCGAAAUGCGAUAAGAAGUGUGAAUUGCAGAAUUCAGUGAAUCAUCGAAUCUUUGAACGCACAUUGCGCCCUUUGGUAUUCCUUAGGGCAUGCCUGUUCGAGCGUCAUUUGAACCCUCAAGCUCAGCUUGGUGUUGGGUGUCUGUCCCCGCCUCCGCGGGGACUCGCCUCAAAAUCAUUGGCGGCCGGUACGUUGGCUUCGAGCGCAGCAGAAACGCGAACUCGAGGCCCGGGGGAUCGGCGACCAGAAGUCUCAUCUUCACAGUUUGACCUCGGAUCAGGUAGGGAUACCCGCUGAACUUAAGCAUAUCAAUAAGCGGAGGA
Molecule: unclassified non-coding RNA, 336 nt
Filed under: soil metagenome
Description: partial contains 5.8S ribosomal RNA, internal transcribed spacer 2, and large subunit ribosomal RNA
Rfam family: 5.8S ribosomal RNA (bases 1-120)
Source: RNAcentral